UACGAAGGGGGCUAGGCGUUGCUCGGAUUGACUGGGCGUAAAGGGCGCGUGAGGCGGUUUGCAUAGUCAGACGUGAAAUUCCUGGGCUUAACCUGGGGGCUGCGUUUGAUACAUGCAGGCUUGAGUUCGGAAGAGGGUCGUGGAAUUCCCAGUGUAGAGGUGAAAUUCGUAGAUAUUGGGAAGAACACCGGUGGCGAAGGCGGCG
Molecule: ribosomal RNA, 205 nt
Filed under: uncultured bacterium
Lineage: Bacteria
Description: partial 16S ribosomal RNA
Rfam family: Bacterial small subunit ribosomal RNA
Source: RNAcentral